RNAcentral lists this ribosomal RNA (461 nucleotides) under uncultured bacterium. RNAcentral describes it as "bacterial SSU rRNA". It matches the Rfam family "Bacterial small subunit ribosomal RNA", at positions 29 to 506 of the family's 1533-position model. The record is from RNAcentral.
AUCAACGCUGGCGGCGCGCCUAACACAUGCAAGUCGAGCGAGAAAGCCCCGCAAGGGGUGAGUAAAGCGGCGCACGGGUGAGUAACACGUGGGUAACCUACCCUCGAGUGGGGGAUAACCCGGGGAAACCCGGGCUAAUACCGCAUGACAUCCUUUGGGCUACGGCCUGGGGGGUCAAAGGAGCAAUCCGCUUGAGGAGGGGCCCGCGGCCGAUUAGCUAGUUGGUGAGGUAACGGCCCACCAAGGCAAAGAUCGGUAGCCGGUCUGAGAGGACGCACGGCCACACUGGAGCUGAGACACGGUCCAGACUCCUACGGGAGGCAGCAGUGGGGAAUUUUGCACAAUGGCCGAAAGGCUGAUGCAGCGACGCCGCGUGAGUGAUGAAGCCCUUCGGGGUGUAAAGCUCUUUCGGCGGGGACGAUAAUGACGGUACCCGCAGAAGAAGCCCCGGCAAACUACGU